This 301-nucleotide ribosomal RNA is filed under the name uncultured bacterium. RNAcentral describes it as "partial 16S ribosomal RNA". It matches the Rfam family "Bacterial small subunit ribosomal RNA", at positions 509 to 809 of the family's 1533-position model. The record is from RNAcentral.
CAGUAGCCGCGGGAACACGGAGGGAGCUAGCGUUGUUCGGAAUUACUGGGCGUAAAGCGCGCGUAGGCGGUUACUCAAGUCAGAGGUGAAAGCCCGGGGCUCAACCCCGGAACUGCCUUUGAAACUAGGUGACUAGAAUCUUGGAGAGGUCAGUGGAAUUCCGAGUGUAGAGGUGAAAUUCGUAGAUAUUCGGAAGAACACCAGUGGCGAAGGCGACUGACUGGACAAGUAUUGACGCUGAGGUGCGAAAGCGUGGGGAGCAAACAGGAUUAGAUACCCCGGUAGUCCCUGUCUCUUAUAA